AAACCAACAGGGAUUGCCCCAGUAACGGCGAGUGAAGCGGCAACAGCUCAAAUUUGAAAUCUGGCCCUCCCUUCGGGGGCCCGAGUUGUAAUUUGCAGAGGAUGCUUCUGGCGCGGCGCCUUCCGAGUUCCCUGGAACGGGACGCCAUAGAGGGUGAGAGCCCCGUCUGGUUGGACGCCUAGCCUCUGUGAAGCACCUUCGACGAGUCGAGUAGUUUGGGAAUGCUGCUCAAAAUGGGAGGUAUAUGUCUUCUAAAGCUAAAUACCGGCCAGAGACCGAUAGCGCACAAGUAGAGUGAUCGAAAGAUGAAAAGCACUUUGAAAAGAGGGUUAAACAGUACGUGAAAUUGUUGAAAGGGAAGCGCUCAUGACCAGACUUGGGCCCCGCGCAUCACCCGGCGUUCUCGCCGGGGCACUUCGCAGGGCCCAGGCCAGCAUCGGUUCGCGGCGGGGGACAAAGGCUUCGGGAACGUGGCUCCCUCGGGAGUGUUACAGCCCGCUGCGCAAUGCCCUGCUGCGGACCGAGGUUCGCGCUUUCCGCAAGGAUGCUGGCGUAAUGGUCAUCAGCGAC
Molecule: ribosomal RNA, 570 nt
Filed under: Perennicordyceps ryogamiensis
Lineage: Eukaryota; Fungi; Ascomycota; Sordariomycetes; Hypocreales; Polycephalomycetaceae
Description: eukaryotic LSU rRNA
Rfam family: Eukaryotic large subunit ribosomal RNA
Source: RNAcentral